UACGUAGGGUGCAAGCGUUGUCCGGAACUAUUGGGCGUAAAGAGCUCGUAGGCGGUCUGUUGCGUCCGCUGUGAAAACUCGGGGCUUAACCCCGAGCCUGCAGUGGAUACGGGCAGACUAGAGGUAGGUAGGGGAGAAUGGAAUUCCCGGUGUAGCGGUGAAAUGCGCAGAUAUCGGGAGGAACACCGGUGGCGAAGGCGGUUCUCUGGGCCUUACCUGACGCUGAGGAGCGAAAGCGUGGGGAGCGAACAGG
This 253-nucleotide ribosomal RNA is filed under the name uncultured bacterium. RNAcentral's name for it is "partial 16S ribosomal RNA". It matches the Rfam family "Bacterial small subunit ribosomal RNA", at positions 524 to 776 of the family's 1533-position model. The record is from RNAcentral.